ACUCUGAGUUCAUAGUAGCUAGCAUGAGGCAAGCAGUUUCAUUAGAAUCAUCGACAUGCUUCUUAUAAGCAUCUCUUUCUGCCUUAGACGCAGAACUAGGAGAUUCCUCUUCAGGAACAGGUUUCUCCAAGACAUACAGUUUUCUAUCAUGUUUGAGGGCAAUCCUCAGAUUUCGGUGUCAAUCCAGAAAAUUUGUCCCAGACAAUUUUUCCUUAUCAAGGAUUGAUCGCAAAAUGUUGUUAGAGGUGUUCG
Molecule: long non-coding RNA, 252 nt
Filed under: Lathyrus oleraceus (garden pea)
Lineage: Eukaryota; Viridiplantae; Streptophyta; Magnoliopsida; Fabales; Fabaceae
Description: Pisum sativum (pea) long non-coding RNA (PSAT_LNC016489)
Source: RNAcentral